RNAcentral lists this ribosomal RNA (468 nucleotides) under uncultured bacterium. RNAcentral describes it as "partial 16S ribosomal RNA". It matches the Rfam family "Bacterial small subunit ribosomal RNA", at positions 28 to 507 of the family's 1533-position model. The record is from RNAcentral.
GACGAACGCUGGCGGCGUGCUUAACACAUGCAAGUCGAACGGAAAGGCCCUGCCUUUGUGGGGUGCUCGAGUGGCGAACGGGUGAGUAACACGUGAGUAACCUGCCCUUGACUCUGGGAUAACUUCAGGAAACUGCGGCUAAUACCGGAUAGGAGAUCCUCCUGCAUGGUGGGGGUUGGAAAGGUUCGUCGGUUGGGGAUGGACUCGCGGCCUAUCAGCUUGUUGGUGGGGUAGUGGCUUACCAAGGCUUUGACGGGUAGCCGGCCUGAGAGGGUGACCGGCCACAUUGGGACUGAGAUACGGCCCAGACUCCUACGGGAGGCAGCAGUGGGGAAUAUUGCACAAUGGGCGGAAGCCUGAUGCAGCAACGCCGCGUGCGGGAUGACGGCCUUCGGGUUGUAAACCGCUUUCGCCUGUGACGAAGCGUGAGUGACGGUAAUGGGUAAAGAAGCACCGGCUAACUACGUG